GCUCGGCCCGCUCGGCGGCCGCGCCCGGCAGAUAAACGGCGCGUGGCCCCGGCUCCUGGGUCCCGGCCUCCUGGCCCCGCCCGCCCAGGGUUGGCUGACGGGACCGAGGCGAGCUCCUCGUCCUCUCUCAACACCUGAGGAAACUGGCGGAAAAGUUUGAGAACGAAAAGUCCAAUCGUCUUUCAGCUUCCGCCCUCCCUAUGACACUCCAGCCACGGUGAGCCUUGCCUGGCCUUCCUUGGCUCUAGCAAAUCAGCCGGUGUCUCCUGCAUAUCUAAGAGCCUUCCUGCACAUGGGCUCAGGAGAGAGUCCCAGGAUGGUGUAUGCUUAUUUGCCUCACUCACUUCCAGCAUGUCCAUGUAAGCAGUGCACAGAAGUGGGGGUGUGCCCAGGCCUCAAAUGUUUGGGCUUGUCCUCCUGCCUUCAUCAUGAGAUAUGUAUACCCUGUGUGAGUCACAGUUCCACGAUGGAGAGAUGCAUGGAGCAGACCUAACCCAAGCCUAGCUGAGUUCAGCCAACCUGCGGACCCAAGAGUGAAAAGAAAGAAAUGUCUGUUGUAAGCCGUUGAGAUUUGGGGAUUAUUUGUUACACAGCAGUAUCACAGCCAAGCCUAACUAAUGUGUGUUCAUGGUUUUUUUUACUGCAUGGAACUGCUCCAGUACUCAAGUCUGAAAUACUCACUCUGAUGCAUAUCAUCAAGGAAUUGAGGUUUAGUGAGCAGUUUUUCCCCCCUCCAGACUCCUUUCCAUGACCUUUUCCUGGAGUGUGCAUCUCCUACAUUUAUAGGACAGUUAACCACAUGGAAGAAUUUUGCCUCCUCCCCAACAAGCCAUUCCACAGGUGCUCAGACCUGCCUGUCCCUGACAACGGCUGUUCUUGUCGUGGGCAGACCUCAGCUUCUUGGGGACAAUGAUGAGGCUGGAGCUCAGAGAGAUGGAGGAGCCUCUGAAGCUGCAGCAGCCGGAGCAGAACGCACAGCUGCAGAGCCCUCUGGAAAGAACAGAGAAGAGAAGUGGACGUCGCAGACCUGAACCAGGAUGUUCUCUGUGAUGUCAGUUGAUUGGAGUGUGAGGUACUGAAGAAAUUACUUUUAACCAAGUGAUGAGAAAUUUGUUCAUGAAACAUCUAUAGAAGAGCAUGGAAACCUUGUGAUGACCCUUUUCUGGUCUAUUGAAGCAACAGGGAAUGGGAGGUUUGUCCUUCUGUUUAUCUU
Molecule: non-coding RNA, 1213 nt
Organism: Kogia breviceps (pygmy sperm whale)
Lineage: Eukaryota; Metazoa; Chordata; Mammalia; Artiodactyla; Physeteridae
Source: RefSeq, a predicted model, not a curated record